GACGAACGCUGGCGGCGUGCCUAAUACAUGCAAGUUGAGCGAUGAAGAUUGGUGCUUGCCCCAAUUUGAAGAGCAGCGAACGGGUGAGUAACGCGUGGGGAAUCUGCCUUUGAGCGGGGGACAACAUUUGGAAACGAAUGCUAAUACCGCAUAACAACUUUAAACAUAAGUUUUAAGUUUGAAAGAUGCAAUUGCAUCACUCAAAGAUGAUCCCGCGUUGUAUUAGCUAGUUGGUGAGGUAAAGGCUCACCAAGGCGAUGAUACAUAGCCGACCUGAGAGGGUGGUCGGCCACAUUGGGACUGAGACACGGCCCAAACUCCUACGGGAGGCAGCAGUAGGGAAUCUUCGGCAACGGACGAAAGUCUGACCGAGCAACGCCGCGUGAGUGAAGAAGGUUUUCGGAUCGUAAAACUCUGUUGGUAGAGAAGAACGUUGGUGAGAGUGGAAAGCUCAUCAAGUGACGGUAACUACCCAGAAAGGGACGGCUAACUACGUG
RNAcentral lists this ribosomal RNA (497 nucleotides) under uncultured bacterium. RNAcentral's name for it is "partial 16S ribosomal RNA". It matches the Rfam family "Bacterial small subunit ribosomal RNA", at positions 28 to 507 of the family's 1533-position model. The record is from RNAcentral.